AUACCUUUCUCGGCCUUUUGGCUAAGAUCAAGUGUAGUAUCUGUUCUUAUCAGUUUAAUAUCUGAUAUGUGGGCCAUGUGCCCACAACGAUAUUAAAUUUAUUUUUUGUGGGGGAGGGUCCACCACAGUGGCUUGCCACUGGGGCCCUCGGGUGUCGCCUGGGCGUUGCACUACAGCCCAGGCAGGCGCACCCCAA
RNAcentral lists this small nuclear RNA (196 nucleotides) under Hordeum vulgare. Its description in RNAcentral is "U2 spliceosomal RNA". It matches the Rfam family "U2 spliceosomal RNA". Rfam says of the family: U2 is a small nuclear RNA (snRNA) component of the spliceosome (involved in pre-mRNA splicing). Complementary binding between U2 snRNA (in an area lying towards the 5' end but 3' to hairpin I) and the branchpoint sequence (BPS) of the intron results the bulging out of an unpaired adenosine, on the BPS, which initiates a nucleophilic attack at the intronic 5' splice site, thus starting the first of two transesterification reactions that mediate splicing. Lineage: Eukaryota; Viridiplantae; Streptophyta; Magnoliopsida; Poales; Poaceae. RNAcentral also lists the same sequence under 1 other name. The record is from RNAcentral.